RNAcentral lists this ribosomal RNA (253 nucleotides) under uncultured bacterium. Its description in RNAcentral is "partial 16S ribosomal RNA". It matches the Rfam family "Bacterial small subunit ribosomal RNA", at positions 524 to 776 of the family's 1533-position model. The record is from RNAcentral.
UACAGAGGUCUCAAGCGUUGUUCGGAUUCAUUGGGCGUAAAGGGUGCGUAGGCGGCGCGGUAAGUCGGUUGUGAAAUCUCGGAGCUUAACUCCGAAACUGCAUUCGAUACUGGCGUGCUUGAGGACUGGAGAGGAGACUGGAAUUCAUGGUGUAGCAGUGAAAUGCGUAGAGAUCAUGAGGAAGACCAGUGGCGAAGGCGGGUCUCUGGACAGUUCCUGACACUGAGACACGAAGGCCAGGGGAGCAAACGGG